Molecule: unclassified non-coding RNA, 2417 nt
Filed under: Polistes dominula (European paper wasp)
Lineage: Eukaryota; Metazoa; Arthropoda; Insecta; Hymenoptera; Vespidae
Description: nicastrin, transcript variant X2
Source: RNAcentral
UCUCGAAUCGAUUAAUACCUCCAUUUUUUCGAUAGAUGGAACUUACAAGAUUCUCAGGGAUAUACUUAAAAAAAAAUCAAGAAUGAAAAAUUGCACUAGUAUAUCAAUUUUAAUAAGAAAAUUUCUAUGUGUUGAUUAAAUUAGUGAAUAAUUUUGUAAUUCCAGUAUUUUGUGUUGGAUGAUGCAUCAUUUCCUAACCUAUCUUUCUUUAAGCUGUUAGAAUUUCUUAGUUUGACGUUUAGAGUGAUCAGUGAUAACAAUGGCAAGAUUUCUUACGUGGAAAUGUCUUCUUUUAUUAGUUAUAAUACAAAUUGUCAAUGCCAAAAGAAUCAAGGAUAUGAUUUAUAUGUCAAUUGAUGGUGCUGCUGGUUGUUUUAGAAGACACAAUGGAACACAUCAAUUUGGUUGUUCAUCAAGUAGAUCUGGUAGUGUAGGAGUAAUACAUUUAAUAGAACAAGAAGAUGAUGUCAGAUGGUUGGAAACUAAAGCAACUGCAGGCCCAUAUACUGCAGUCCUACCAUUUUCAAUGUUUACCAGAGAUGUUCUUUUACGUUUGAAAAAUACUAACAAUAUCAAUGGCGUUCUAUUGGCAAGAAAUACUAGUCAAGAAUAUCCAGAUUUUUAUUCACCAGAAGAUACCUGUCCAAACAGAUACUCAAAUUAUAAAAAGUGUAACGAUCAACGUCCAUGGAAUCCUCAUGGAUCAUCAAUUUUAUUAGAAGACUGGCCAUUUCCCAUGUUUUAUAUGGAGAAUCAAACACUUUUGGAAGCCAUAAAGUCUUGUUUUUGGAAUCACAAUGCUCACGAUCUUGAAAAUCAAAGUGAACGUUCAUUGUGCGCAUUGGAAAUGAAAUCAUUCAUGUUUUCUGCUAUUAAUUCUGAUUCUUGUAUAAAACGUAGCGACUUUUAUUUAAAUAUCAAUCCAACAUCAUUCUGUGAUCCACUUGGAGAUAGAAAUAUACAUUGGCCAUUAGCACCAUUAAAUUCUGAUUCUAAUUCUGUAAUAAUGGUUACCUCCAGAAUAGAUGCAUCUUCUAUGUUUGAUGGAAUAUCUCCUGGAGCUUUAAGUACAAUAACAGGAAUGGUUUCAUUACUAGCUACUGCUGCUUACUUGCAUUCUUUAAAACCAGUUAUCAAAAAUACAAAUGUUGUUUUUACUCUUCUUAAUGGAGAAGCUUUUGACUAUAUAGGUUCCAGUCGUUUGGUUUAUGAUUUAAAAGAAGGUCAUUUUAAUGCUCUCGGUGGAAUCAAUUUAAAACUCAAUGAAAUUUUAACUGUAAUCGAACUUAGUCAAUUAUCCAAAGGAGAUGCAUUUUUGCAUGUUAGCAAUAAUAAAACUAAUCCAAUGAUAAAUCAAUUAAGUGAAAAGUUACCAGCUAAAGUAUUGAGUAAUAGUGUUCCACCUACAUCUGUGCAAAGCUUUCUAGAAAUAGAACCAAGUCUUACCACCAUCGUUCUAACUAAUUAUCCAGAUCAAUUUAUCAAUAAUUAUUAUAACAGCAUUUUAGACAAUGCUAAGAGUCUUCAUUUCAACAGUAAUAUUUCAAGUGAUCUUGUACCAAGUUUAACAAAUAUAAGCAUCACUUUGGCAGAGACUUUGUAUCACAGUGUUACAAACGAAACAGCUCCAAGUGGAGAUGUAAAUCGUAUCGAACAUAUUAUCUCGGAAAUGUUGUCUUGUUAUUUAGAAAGUGCAAAAUGUAAUCUAUUUCAUGCAGCAUCGUCACCAGGAACCAAAUUGGCCGAUCAAAUUUUACCUUUGUACGUUAGUGUACAUAGAGUACCUAACACCGUUACAAUUUUAACUGGUCAACUUUUUGCUCUGUUAACUGGCGACAAAUUAGAUAUGAAUGAAACAGAGUGUUACGAGCAUCAUUACGCAUGGAUGGGUGGUUAUGAUUUAACAGGAAUUUGUAUAAAUUCAACAGUAAAUUAUAGUAUAGCUUUAAGUCCAGCAUUCAUCAUCCAUAAUUACGAUAUGAAAUCUGGGAUAUUUUCAACAUGGACAGAAUCUAUCUGGCAAAUGUUAAGUGUCAGAAUGUUUUUAAAACCUUCAGCAGCAACUGAACGACUUAGCAUGAUUCUUGGCAGUAUUGUGACUAGCACAUCAUUUAUCUUAGUAUGGUUUAUUAAUUCCAAGGCUGAUAUAUUAUUUAAUUCCAGGUGAUAAAACAAUGAGAGCUGUUGAUUGCUAGGGAUACGCUGCGGACCACAUAUCAAUGACCAGAUUUGUCGUCUUCUGUAACGUUCAUAUAAAUGAAAUCUUGCAUCGGUUAUAUUAAAAGAAUGCAAUUUAGUUGAAGAAAAGGGGGACAGGUGGGGGAGGAGGAGGAGGAGGGGGGGUCUGGUCUUUUGUGUACAACACCUUCUUUUCAUGUAGUACAAUUUGAAAAAUACUUAUAUAUAUAUAUAAAAAA